Long non-coding RNA from Panicum virgatum (switchgrass), 903 nucleotides. RefSeq lists it as uncharacterized. The record is from RefSeq and is a predicted model, not a curated record. NCBI's taxonomy places the organism in Eukaryota, Viridiplantae, Streptophyta, Magnoliopsida, Poales, Poaceae. The transcript is spliced from 3 exons.
GCUGGGUGGCUGGCACUGAAAAUAUAUCUCUGUUCUGUGUUUAUGGUUAUCAUUUUUCAGUUGCCUCUUUCAGAGUGAACUUCAGAUUCAGUUUCAGCCUUACUGCUUUUUUCUAACACCGAUGAAUUUUUCUUCUAGCAGUCUUCAUUUUCCAGCACAAGAUCGAAGUCUUCAUUUUUCAGCACAAGAUCGAUGGUGCCACAGAGCGAGCCUGAUGAGUUCACUUGUCACGCUGGACCUUAGUUUGAUGAUCUAUAGGGUCUUUCAUCAUAAUUAGUUCCAUUCAACAAAGGUAAAGCAUGGGCGUGGGCAAGCGGCGGAGGCAAGAACGGCGGCGCAAGUGGCGGAGCGCCAGCGUGUUUUUGCAAGGUGAUCGGUUUUUUAGACAUCGAAGCUCUUGCUUUGGAAGGUUGUCACCAUCCCAACCUGGAUUUGAGGCUUAACUCCUUGCCCUCAAGUGCAACAAGCUCACCAGCCUAUAUCUCACUUGCACUAUUGGUGAGUGCUGCUGCUUUUCUGAUUUCUUCAGCUGUUCUAAUAGAUUACUGAAAAUCAUUUCUUCUAUUACUGUUAAUUUCAGGCUGUGCUGAUUCUCUUUUUUCCAUAGUUAGGUGAAUAUCUUGGUAUGCAUAGAUUAGUUCUCAUAAUCGCAUGAACAUAAAAAAAACUUCAAUUCUUAGGAUGACCAUCCACUCACUGUAUGGAACCGUAGCAUAUAACUUCUGUCAUUUUGUUUGUCUAUUGGUAGUCUUGGCCAGCCAUCCAGUACUACUAAAUAUAAUAGUAGACCCAUGAUUUGUGACUCAUAUCCUAUGUGGUACCAAGGUGUUAAAAGUACUGCUCUAUGUUCACAUAUUUGGACUUUCUUUUUGGCUCAAACAUGCUUCAUCACUACCUGUAUGA